UAGGUACAGGUUGAGAUUGCAGGUCGGAACGCUUCUUUUUCCACCGGAGCUUGCUCCACCGGAAAAAGAGGAGUGGCGAACGGGUGAGUAACACGUGGGUAACCUGCCCAUCAGAAGGGGAUAACACUUGGAAACAGGUGCUAAUACCGUAUAACAAUCGAAACCGCAUGGUUUUGAUUUGAAAGGCGCUUUCGGGUGUCGCUGAUGGAUGGACCCGCGGUGCAUUAGCUAGUUGGUGAGGUAACGGCUCACCAAGGCGACGAUGCAUAGCCGACCUGAGAGGGUGAUCGGCCACAUUGGGACUGAGACACGGCCCAAACUCCUACGGGAGGCAGCAGUAGGGAAUCUUCGGCAAUGGACGAAAGUCUGACSRRGCAACGCCGSSKKRAGGUGAAGAAGGUUUUCGGAUCGUAAAACUCUGUUGUUAGAGAAGAACAAGGAUGAGAGUAACUGUUCAUCCCUUGACGGUAUCUAACCAGAAAGCCACGGCUAACUACGUGCCAGCAGCCGCGGUAAUACGUAGGUGGCAAGCGUUGUCCGGAUUUAUUGGGCGUAAAGCGAGCGCAGGCGGUUUCUUAAGUCUGAUGUGAAAGCCCCCGGCUCAACCGGGGAGGGUCAUUGGAAACUGGGAGACUUGAGUGCAGAAGAGGAGAGUGGAAUUCCAUGUGUAGCGGUGAAAUGCGUAGAUAUAUGGAGGAACACCAGUGGCGAAGGCGGCUCUCUGGUCUGUAACUGACGCUGAGGCUCGAAAGCGUGGGGAGCAAACAGGAUUAGAUACCCUGGUAGUCCACGCCGUAAACGAUGAGUGCUAAGUGUUGGAGGGUUUCCGCCCUUCAGUGCUGCAGCUAACGCAUUAAGCACUCCGCCUGGGGAGUACGACCGCAAGGUUGAAACUCAAAGGAAUUGACGGGGGCCCGCACAAGCGGUGGAGCAUGUGGUUUAAUUCGAAGCAACGCGAAGAACCUUACCAGGUCUUGACAUCCUUUGACCACUCUAGAGAUAGAGCUUCCCCUUCGGGGGCAAAGUGACAGGUGGUGCAUGGUUGUCGUCAGCUCGUGUCGUGAGAUGUUGGGUUAAGUCCCGCAACGAGCGCAACCCUUAUUGUUAGUUGCCAUCAUUUAGUUGGGCACUCUAGCAAGACUGCCGGUGACAAACCGGAGGAAGGUGGGGAUGACGUCAAAUCAUCAUGCCCCUUAUGACCUGGGCUACACACGUGCUACAAUGGGAAGUACAACGAGUCGCAAAGUCGCGAGGCUAAGCUAAUCUCUUAAAGCUUCUCUCAGUUCGGAUUGUAGGCUGCAACUCGCCUACAUGAAGCCGGAAUCGCUAGUAAUCGCGGAUCAGCACGCCGCGGUGAAUACGUUCCCGGGCCUUGUACACACCGCCCGUCACACCACGAGAGUUUGUAACACCCGAAGUCGGUGAGGUAACCUUUGGAGCCAGCCACCUAUAGAGUAACCCC
Molecule: ribosomal RNA, 1462 nt
Filed under: Enterococcus hirae
Lineage: Bacteria; Bacillati; Bacillota; Bacilli; Lactobacillales; Enterococcaceae
Description: bacterial SSU rRNA
Source: RNAcentral